GACGAGCCAGUGGCCACCACUCAUGGCUAUUGGACGUCGUCAAUACAUGUAUUGUAGAUUAUAUAUAAUACGCUAAUAUUUUAAGACGACUCCAAAGCAAUAAUUGAAUAAAAACCAUACCCAAAGAAAAUUGAGGUUCACAUAAUCUGCAUAUAUACACUAGUCAUUUUGAGAACUCGUAGUUUCAUAUUUAAGCUCUUAUAUUUGCUUUAGAAACAGUAUGGAACUCACUAGAGUUGAGAGUAUGGAAUUCCAGAGAAGGUCUAAAGCAGUACUCAAUUUAAAGGAAAGGAUUGAAGAGCAGAGGAAAGCCAAACAGAGAAAAAUACAAAUAGAAAAGGAGAGGAUUGAAAACGAGAGGAAAGCUAGAAUCAAAAAAAUACAAAUGGAAAAGGAAAAAAUUGAAGAGGAGAGGAAUGCUAGAUACGAAAAAUUACAAAUGGAAAUUGAGAGAAUUGCAGAGGAGAAGAAAGCUAGAUAUAGAAAAAUACAAAUGGAAAUUGAGAGGAUUGAACAGGAGAGAAAAGCCAAACAUAUAGAAAGACAAAAGAGAUUUGAAUAGUGGAAAAUAAACAAAACCAUAAUCAGAAACCGAAUCACCACAAAAUUUGGUGAGUUCAUAUAUCUUAAAUUUUCUUCAUCUUGCUAGUUAUAAAGGCAUAAUACAAUGACUUCCAAAAUUAUAAGGUCUAAUUAUUAUUUGAUAUAUUAAAUAUUUUUACAAAUAGUUCCAAUAUUAUGUUAUACAAAAAAAAAAAUUGAUUGUUUUCUAUAUGAGUUUGAACAUUUGAAUUAUAUCUAAUGUGACGGUAACGUAUCUAUUUGUCCACUUUUCUCAUUUUUUAUCCUCCCUUUUUCUCUUUUUUUUUAUUCUUUCUACGAUUUCAUCUUUCUAUCACUUUUUUACGUAUCUAUUUGAUACUGUACACCAUUAAUAACACUUUCAUAUUAGGUGUCCCAGCUCUAGACUUAUUUUUAGUAUCUAUAUUAAUUUCUUUAUUAAAUAUAUAAGAACUAUCUUUUUCUUCUUAUUUAAACACUUAGAACUACACCCUCUCUUCUUUCUAAAGUGACGAUUUUUUAGAACAAUUUAGCAUUUUUAUUUUUCGUUUUCCAAAUUUAAAAUAAUAAUAUUAAUUAUUAUUUUUUUAUUUUAAGAUAUUAUAAAUUUUAUUAUAAUUAAUUCACACAACUAUGAUGUCUAGAUUUCAAUUGGGAUCAUAUUAACAAUAUCGACAUUUGUCAAUUAAAUUAAAACUUAAAAACUUCUAAUUAUUUAUAUAGAGAGAUAAAUAAGUGGAAUGAAAUAAUAAAUAUUAUUUUUUUGUGAAAGUUAAUAAAUAGGUAAAGGAAAAGAUAAAUUAAUUUCAUAAAAUUAACCAAAUUUAAAUUUGAAACAACAGUAAAAAAUAUGGUGAUAAUAAUAAAAGUUUAAGAGUUUAAUAUCGAUAUAUUGUAAAUGUAAAAUAGUUUUACAUCAAAUAUCUAAUAAAAUUCACGAUUUUUCCAUGGAAUCCUACUUUAUAACCACAAUCUAAAUAUAAUCUUUAAUAAUAAUUUGCAAGUCUAGUAACCAUAUCUGUUAUUUUAAUUUAUUUAUUAAUAUAUAGUAGCAAAUUCUAACCUUUUCUUUUACUCUCCUCUAUGAAUUAUUGGCAUGAUAAGUAUUGAAGAUCGAAUUUCAGUGUCAACAACAAAAUAACUAAUGAAGAUCGAAGAAAGCUAGAAUUAUGGCAAAUUCUCACCAUUUCUUUUUUAUUUGACUAUAUAAUGUAGCAUAUAUAGUG
RNAcentral lists this long non-coding RNA (1787 nucleotides) under Cicer arietinum (chickpea). Its description in RNAcentral is "long non-coding RNA (CARI_LNC000495)". Lineage: Eukaryota; Viridiplantae; Streptophyta; Magnoliopsida; Fabales; Fabaceae. The record is from RNAcentral.